This 451-nucleotide ribosomal RNA is filed under the name uncultured bacterium. RNAcentral describes it as "bacterial SSU rRNA". It matches the Rfam family "Bacterial small subunit ribosomal RNA", at positions 29 to 507 of the family's 1533-position model. The record is from RNAcentral.
AGCGAACGCUAGCGGCGGGCUUAACACAUGCAAGUCGAGCGGAGGGUUUCGGCCCUCAGCGGCGAACGGGUGAGUAACACGUGGGUAACGUACCCUUUGGUGGGGAAUAACCUAGGGAAACCUGGGCUAAUACCGCAUACGUCCUACGGGAGAAAGAGGGCCUCUGCUUGCACGCUCUCACUCCAGGAUGAGCCCACGUCCGAUCAGCUAGUUGGUGGGGUAACGCCCACCAAGGCAUCGACGGGUAGCUGGUCUGAGAGGACGAUCAGCCACACUGGGACUGAGACACGGCCCAGACUCCUACGGGAGGCAGCAGUGGGGAAUCUUGCGCAAUGGGCGAAAGCCUGACGCAGCAACGCCGCGUGGGGGAUGAAGGCUUUCGGGUUGUAAACCCUUUCAGCAGGGACGAAUCAAGACGGUACCUGCAGAAGAAGCCCCGGCUAACUACGUG